UUUGUGGAUCAUAAACUUCCUUGUGACUUUCAUUCUCACCCAGUUUUCAGUCGCACUGUGGAUGUUCUCUGUAUUUUUUCACAAUUUCACAGGAUUUAUUUCUUUAUUUUAUUUCUUUUCCUAUUUUAAUUCGGUGUGAGGAGACUUUAGAAAACUCGUUAUUUUUUAAAAUCUUUUUUGGUGACGUUUUUGAUUUGACAGGCUUUUACUUUUCUAUUCUCUCUAAAGGACUCAUACUUCAUUUUUUAAAAAUGAGAUUUAGAGGAUUUUGUCUAAAUACUGCGGAAACAAUGGGCAAUUUCUUCUUCUUGUGCUUUUGUCGUGUUUCCUGGAUACGGAAAAGAGCCGUGAUGUGUAGCGUCCUGAUUACAUCAUCUGAUUUGUUUCACAGUUUUUACAGUGAAUUCUUGUUAAAAAAAAACUCUAAACAUAAACUUUGUACACAGAGAUGAUGUUUAUACAAAAAAGAAGCAAAAGAGUGAUAGAGAAUGUAAAAGUCUCAGAUCUCAGUCACACCCUGAAAGCAACGUGAUCGCUGCUGGUUGUUGGACAGCUUUCUGCUCAACCAUCCGCAAUUUAGCGCUGUGGAAGAGGAUCAGAAACCUGUUCACGCGUCGAGGUGACGAUGUGAGACUGUCGGAGGAGGAAACGCUCCAGAGCUCAGUUCGGCCGUUCUUGUCGAACUACGGAAUCUGUUUUUAAAUAAAAAAGUGAUGAUAUAUAAAAACGCAUGUUGUGGACAUUACUUCAUCUAAUUAUUAAGUUCAUCAUUAAAGUAAACUAUAAAUGCUGCUGUUCAGUAACGUAAACACAGUAACUAACACUCAUAUUAACUACUUUCUUCCAAGCUGAAUAAUCAAAAUUAAACCCACACACAACAGUUCUCAACAGUUCUCUGUUCAGUUCUCUAUUCUGAUUGGUCAGAAGGUGUUGAUUAGUUUUCUAUAACAGCAGCUCUGACAGUAGCGCAGGCUAUGAUUCAAAUCAUAGGUUUAUAUUCAUUUUGUUAUUAAUGAACAGAAAGUGUGCAUGGUGCUGUAGGUUCGCUAUAAGGAGAUGUUUAUUUAACUCUUUAUUUAUGGAAGGAGUCUCCAGUGUCAGCGCUUUGUAACAGUCAGAGGUAAAGCUGAAACUUUUCCCGACAUCUUCAGGACAGAGGAGUUUACGCUUCUUUGCAGUUUCUUGGUGACAAGCUGUGUUUUGUUUUUUUUUUUGGUCAGGAACUUGUUCAUGAAGUUAUCAACAUACAGUAAAGUCACAUGCUGUAGUUUAAUCUGCUCAUCACUCAUCUCAAGUGACUCCGCACCUGUGGAAACUGCUCAGGUCUGUCCAUCUUCAGAUGAAAAGGAACGACUUGGAUGAUUUGGUUUAUGUCUGUAUUGUGGAAAUAAUGGACAGCUCCAAGCAACAUGCACCCUGACACCUGAAAACAGAGGACAGGAACAGGUGGGCCAAGUCAUUCCACCUAUAGUCCUGACUCAUUACAGUACUAUACUGUCCCUGAAACUCUAAUCUUCUCAGAUUCCCAUCACAACCAUUUAUAUUUUAUACUAAAUUUUAAUUCUAGUCCAAGCUAUGGACCUUACGGUUACUGUAAUGUCUUAUUGUCAUGUUUAAAUCUUGUUUUUUUUGGGAGUGAUGGGAGUAUUUAUGCUCUACUACCCCUCUGUUUACCCCCACGGUUUCCCA
Pangasianodon hypophthalmus (striped catfish) is the source of this 1689-nucleotide long non-coding RNA. RefSeq lists it as uncharacterized. The record is from RefSeq and is a predicted model, not a curated record. NCBI's taxonomy places the organism in Eukaryota, Metazoa, Chordata, Actinopteri, Siluriformes, Pangasiidae. The transcript is spliced from 3 exons.